RNAcentral lists this ribosomal RNA (253 nucleotides) under uncultured prokaryote. Its description in RNAcentral is "partial 16S ribosomal RNA". It matches the Rfam family "Bacterial small subunit ribosomal RNA", at positions 524 to 776 of the family's 1533-position model. The record is from RNAcentral.
UACGUAGGGUGCAAGCGUUAAUCGGAAUUACUGGGCGUAAAGCGUGCGCAGGCGGUUCGCUAAGACAGAUGUGAAAUCCCCGGGCUUAACCUGGGAACUGCAUUUGUGACUGGCGGGCUAGAGUAUGGCAGAGGGGGGUAGAAUUCCACGUGUAGCAGUGAAAUGCGUAGAGAUGUGGAGGAAUACCGAUGGCGAAGGCGGCAUCCUGGACCGGCAUUGACGCUGAGGCGCGAAAGCCAGGGGAGCAAACGGG